AACAAACAGCCCUACUUGAGUUUCUAGAUGAUUAAGUGGAAAAUAUUCUACUUUGGCGGAAAAUCUCUGCUCAUCAAGUGUCACUUUUCACGAGGUGUGAGUACCAUUCAGGAAAUUUUCAUCACAGAAGUUUCCUUAAAAACCUUUGGAAACUGGUGAAACCCCACACCACUGUGGCUUGGCUGCUUGGCCCUGAGGCUUGCGACCACAGAGGCAGCAAAUGAGGAGCAGAAGCUUGGAGGGAAACCACAGCCUAGCACUGCUUUCCCAGCCUGUACAGCAACGUUUUAGCCCAUCACUUCAGCAGCGGACCGACCUUCUACACUCUGCAGUCUUCUUCCUUCCCAGCCCGUACAGCAAUGAUGCACUGUUUCACAGAAGAGACCAGAUUUUCUAAAUCUUCAUAGCUAGCACACUAUUUAGGGAAUACAGAGCUGUUUGGGAUUCAGCCUAGGUUUGACGCGACUUCUGACAGAAACAUGGACAUUUGACGCAUGUGAGACAUCCAAGAGACAUUUUUAGACCUUUAUUCUGCCGUUUUACAGUUAGUCAUACCGUAGGUGCUUUAAUUCAGACCUGUGAUAUUAAUGUUGGAGUUGUUUAGCAUGUUUGCUAUUUUUUAGCCUGUUAGCUAGCUGACCAGCCUAGUUCUAGUUAAGAACAUAAGUUGCCAGCAUCUCAGUUAAAACAAAAAACGGGCUCCUACUUCAUCAGUACACUCUGUGAUACACAGUUCUGUUGCUGUUAGACAGUCAUAGGUGUGUGUAUAUCCACAAAUGUGUCUCAGCCAAUCAGAUUUUAGCACCAGAACUAUCCGUUUUAUAACAGUCAUUUUAUUCACUAUUUAAAAUGACCAGUGAACCUACAUGAGUCUUAUGAGUUUUUAGAUCAUUACUGUGCAAAAAUCCUAUGUGUCUCCAAAACGGCAAGUUUGCAGUAGAAGGCAAAAGUGUUCGUUACUUGUAGGUUAAUGUAAUAAAUUUAUUCCAAGUAAUUUUAGUGCAUUUCAUUUGGUCCAUUCAUUACGAAAUGUAAACCUAAUGUAAAG
This is a long non-coding RNA of Pygocentrus nattereri (red-bellied piranha), 1048 nucleotides long. RefSeq lists it as uncharacterized. NCBI's taxonomy places the organism in Eukaryota, Metazoa, Chordata, Actinopteri, Characiformes, Serrasalmidae. The transcript is spliced from 3 exons. The record is from RefSeq and is a predicted model, not a curated record.